CCUACGGGUGGCUGCAGUGGGGAAUUUUGGACAAUGGGCGAAAGCCUGAUCCAGCAAUGCCGCGUGUGUGAAGAAGGCCUUCGGGUUGUAAAGCACUUUUGGCGGGAACGAAACAGCGCUUGCUAAUACCGGGCGCGAAUGACGGUACCCGCAGAAUAAGCACCGGCUAACUACGUGCCAGCAGCCGCGGUAAGACGUAGGGUGCGAGCGUUGAUCGGAAUUACUGGGGGUAAAGCUGGCGCAGGCGUGUGAAAUCCCCGGGCUCAACCUGGGAACUGCAUUUGUGACUGCAAGGCUAGAGUGCGGCAGAGGGAGGUGGAAUUCCGCGUGUAGCAGUGAAAUGCGUAGAGAUGCGGAGGAACACCGAUGGCGAAGGCAGCCUCCUGGGAUGACACUGACGCUCAUGCACGAAAGCGUGGGGAGCAAACAGGAUUAGAUACCCUGGUAGUC
This 450-nucleotide ribosomal RNA is filed under the name uncultured bacterium. Its description in RNAcentral is "partial 16S ribosomal RNA". It matches the Rfam family "Bacterial small subunit ribosomal RNA", at positions 338 to 795 of the family's 1533-position model. The record is from RNAcentral.